CCUACGGGAGGCAGCAGUGGGGAAUAUUGGACAAUGGGGGGAACCCUGAUCCAGCCAUGCCGCGUGUGUGAAGAAGGCCCUCGGGUUGUAAAGCACUUUCAGUGAGGAAGAACGCCUGGUGGUUAAUACCCAUCAGGAAAGACAUCACUCACAGAAGAAGCACCGGCUAACUCCGUGCCAGCAGCCGCGGUAAUACGGAGGGUGCGAGCGUUAAUCGGAAUUACUGGGCGUAAAGCGCGCGUAGGUGGCUUGAUAAGCCGGUUGUGAAAGCCCCGGGCUCAACCUGGGAACGGCAUCCGGAACUGUCAAGCUAGAGUGCAGGAGAGGAAGGUAGAAUUCCCGGUGUAGCGGUGAAAUGCGUAGAGAUCGGGAGGAAUACCAGUGGCGAAGGCGGCCUUCUGGACUGACACUGACACUGAGGUGCGAAAACGUGGGUAGCAAACAGGAUUAGAUACCCCAGUAGUC
Molecule: ribosomal RNA, 465 nt
Filed under: Vreelandella stevensii
Lineage: Bacteria; Pseudomonadati; Pseudomonadota; Gammaproteobacteria; Oceanospirillales; Halomonadaceae
Description: partial 16S ribosomal RNA
Rfam family: Bacterial small subunit ribosomal RNA
Source: RNAcentral